RNAcentral lists this ribosomal RNA (689 nucleotides) under uncultured cyanobacterium. RNAcentral describes it as "bacterial SSU rRNA". It matches the Rfam family "Bacterial small subunit ribosomal RNA", at positions 91 to 819 of the family's 1533-position model. The record is from RNAcentral. Lineage: Bacteria; Bacillati; Cyanobacteriota.
AUGCAAGUCGAACGGGCUCUUCGGAGAAUCUGCCUUCAGGUUGGGGACAACAGUUGGAAACGACUGCUAAUACCCAAUGUGCCGAGAGGUGAAAGCUUUAGUGCCUGAGGAUGAGCUCGCGUCUGAUUAGCUAGUUGGUGGGGUAACGGCCUACCAAGGCGACGAUCAGUAGCUGGUCUGAGAGGAUGAUCAGCCACACUGGGACUGAGACACGGCCCAGACUCCUACGGGAGGCAGCAGUGGGGAAUUUUCCGCAAUGGGCGCAAGCCUGACGGAGCAAGACCGCGUGAGGGAGGAAGGCUCUUGGGUUGUAAACCUCUUUUAUCAGGGAAGAAGCUCUGACGGUACCUGAUGAAUCAGCAUCGGCUAACUCCGUGCCAGCAGCCGCGGUAAUACGGAGGAUGCAAGCGUUAUCCGGAUUUAUUGGGCGUAAAGCGUCCGCAGGUGGUUGUUCAAGUCUGCUGUUAAAGCGCGAGGCUUAACCUCGUACAGGCAGUGGAAACUGAGCGACUAGAGUAUGGUAGGGGUAGCGGGAAUUCCCAGUGUAGCGGUGAAAUGCGUAGAUAUUGGGAAGAACACCAGCGGCGAAAGCGCGCUACUGGGCCAUUACUGACACUCAUGGACGAAAGCUAGGGGAGCGAAAGGGAUUAGAUACCCCUGUAGUCCUAGCUGUAAACGAUGGGUACUAG